RNAcentral lists this ribosomal RNA (254 nucleotides) under uncultured bacterium. Its description in RNAcentral is "partial 16S ribosomal RNA". It matches the Rfam family "Bacterial small subunit ribosomal RNA", at positions 524 to 776 of the family's 1533-position model. The record is from RNAcentral.
UACGUAGGAUCCGAGCGUUAUCCGGAGUGACUGGGCGUAAAGAGUUGCGUAGGCGGCUUUCAAGCGAGUAGUGAAAUCAUGUGGCUCAACCAUUAUGACUAUUACUCGAACUGGCAGGCUAGAGAAUGGUAGAGGUAACUGGAAUUUCUAGUGUAGGGGUAAAAUCCGUAGAUAUUAGAAAGAACACCAAUGGCGUAGGCAGGUUACUGGACCAUUUCUGACGCUGAGGCACGAAAGCGUGGGGAGCGAACCGG